GCUUGGGAAUAUGCCUUGAGGUGGGGACAACAGUUGGAAACGACUGCUAAUACCGCAUAAUGUCUACGGACCAAAGGAGGGGAUCUUCGGACCUUUCGCCUUUAGAUUAGCCCAAGUGAGAUUAGCUAGAUGGUGGGUAAUGGCCUACCAUGGCGACGAUCUCUAGCUGGUUUGAGAGGAUGAUCAGCCACACUGGGACUGAGACACGGCCCAGACUCCUACGGGAGGCAGCAGUGGGGAAUAUUGGACAAUGGGCGAAAGCCUGAUCCAGCAAUACCGCGUGUGUGAAGAAGGGUUUCG
This 300-nucleotide ribosomal RNA is filed under the name uncultured Colwelliaceae bacterium. RNAcentral describes it as "bacterial SSU rRNA". It matches the Rfam family "Bacterial small subunit ribosomal RNA", at positions 115 to 420 of the family's 1533-position model. Lineage: Bacteria; Pseudomonadati; Pseudomonadota; Gammaproteobacteria; Alteromonadales; Colwelliaceae. The record is from RNAcentral.